CCGCUUCUCUCUCUCUCUCUCUUUCCUGCUCCGCCGCGGUGAGACGUACUUGCUUCUCCUCACCUUCUACCGUGAUUCUGGACUAGACAGAAGACUACAGUUCAAUAAGAAGGAAACACAUUCAUUUUCAGUAUUGUUAAUAAAGAAGCUUACCUAAAAGAAGGAAAUCAAAACAAGAUAAUCUACACUGCAACUAGGGGAGGCUAUUGAAUGUGAUGGUCCCCUCAGAUGCCUAGAGGAAGAUGAACAAUGGUAAUCAGAUAUCCUAAAGUUAUCUUUAGGGCACUGGCAAAAUAGCAGCAAUGCCUGGUGGAAGCUGACUUUGUGCAUACACAUGAGAGCCCACAGAAAACUUCAAACUUCAUGGAAAUAAAACCUUCAGCUGCAGCUAAGAAUUUGGAGGUUACUGAAGGAGGUUACUUUUUCAAGAGCAGAAGUAAGGAUUCCACUGAAUUUGCUCACCAAAGAUAAGUCAGCAAAGAAAACUUACUGAAGAAUACAGGAACAUAAAUCUUAAGCAGGCUUACAUAAGGAAGGGAAGUGGUUGAAUCUGAGACAGCAUAUCAGCUCCUGCUUUCCAGACAAACUUCCUGGGUCUUGGGAAGAAGAAAGCCUCAGACUAAGAACUCUCUCUGGACUCAGACAGCCUGAAUUCAAAUCCCAUCUCUAUUCUUACUAGUCAUAUGAA
RNAcentral lists this long non-coding RNA (688 nucleotides) under Homo sapiens (human). RNAcentral describes it as "HSALNT0352803". The record is from RNAcentral. Lineage: Eukaryota; Metazoa; Chordata; Mammalia; Primates; Hominidae.